UACGGAGGGUGCGAGCGUUAAUCGGAAUCACUGGGCGUAAAGCGCGCGUAGGCGGCUUUUCAAGUCAGGGGUGAAAUCCCACGGCCCAACCGUGGAACUGCCUUUGAAACUGUAGAGCUUGAGUGUCGGAGAGGGUGGCGGAAUUCCAGGUGUAGGAGUGAGAUCCGUAGAUAUCUGGAGGAACACCGGUGGCGAAGGCGGCCACCUGGACGACAACUGACGCUGAGGUGCGAAAGCGUGGGUAGCAAACAGG
RNAcentral lists this ribosomal RNA (253 nucleotides) under uncultured bacterium. RNAcentral's name for it is "partial 16S ribosomal RNA". It matches the Rfam family "Bacterial small subunit ribosomal RNA", at positions 524 to 776 of the family's 1533-position model. The record is from RNAcentral.